GAUGAACGCUGGCGGCGUGCCUAACACAUGCAAGUCGAACGGAGAUGCGAUGUGAGCGAGAGGUGCUUGCACUGAUUAAUCUUUUCGUAUCUUAGUGGCGGACGGGUGAGUAACGCGUGGGUAACCUGCCCCAGACCGGGGGAUAACAGUCGGAAACGACUGCUAAUACCGCAUAAGCGCACAGUGCCGCAUGGCACAGUGUGAAAAACUCCGGUGGUCUGGGAUGGACCCGCGUCCGAUUAGUUAGUUGGCGGGGUAACGGCCCACCAAGACCGCGAUCGGUAGCCGACCUGAGAGGGUGACCGGCCACAUUGGGACUGAGAUACGGCCCAGACUCCUACGGGAGGCAGCAGUGGGGAAUAUUGGGCAAUGGGCGCAAGCCUGACCCAGCAACGCCGCGUGAAGGAAGAAAGGCCUUCGGUUGUAAACGUGCUUUGUUCUAGGGACGGAAAAGGACGAGAGUGC
This 465-nucleotide ribosomal RNA is filed under the name uncultured bacterium. RNAcentral describes it as "bacterial SSU rRNA". It matches the Rfam family "Bacterial small subunit ribosomal RNA", at positions 28 to 465 of the family's 1533-position model. The record is from RNAcentral.